UGCCGAAUCGUCUAACGGUAGGACGCAAGACUCUGGAUCUUGCUAUAUAGGUUCGAAUCCUAUUUCGGCAACCA
This 74-nucleotide transfer RNA is filed under the name Campylobacteraceae bacterium. RNAcentral describes it as "tRNA-Gln". It matches the Rfam family "tRNA". From Rfam's summary of the family: Transfer RNA (tRNA) molecules are approximately 80 nucleotides in length. Their secondary structure includes four short double-helical elements and three loops (D, anti-codon, and T loops). The record is from RNAcentral. Lineage: Bacteria; Pseudomonadati; Campylobacterota; Epsilonproteobacteria; Campylobacterales; Campylobacteraceae.